RNAcentral lists this ribosomal RNA (217 nucleotides) under Betaproteobacteria bacterium PRO5. RNAcentral's name for it is "partial 23S ribosomal RNA". It matches the Rfam family "Bacterial large subunit ribosomal RNA", at positions 2721 to 2925 of the family's 2925-position model. Lineage: Bacteria; Pseudomonadati; Pseudomonadota; Betaproteobacteria. The record is from RNAcentral.
UUAUGACGCCAGUCGUAUCGCCGGGUAGCUAAGUGCGGAAGAGAUAACCGCUGAAAGCAUCUAAGCGGGAAACUUGCCACAAGAUUAGAUUUCCCGGGAAUUUAAUUCCCCUAAAGGUUCGUUGAAGACUACAACGUUGAUAGGUCGAAUGUGUAAGCGUAGUAAUACGUUAAGCUAAUCGAUACUAAUUGACCGUGAGGCUUGAUCCUAUAAUCUU